GCCAAACAGGUUCUUGAUACGAAGACAGAUGAGAAAAAAAAUAAAAUAAAAACAAGCAACUCAACUCAAAUAGAUGAAUUGCAGGUUGGAUACUUGAAUAAAAAAUCAAUCCACCGUUAGUACUAAAUUUGCAGUUCGCUUCCUCUUGUCUUUCCCCCCAUGAAAGGAAUCUCCUGCGUCAACGAAUAGUAUAUAUUGGGACGCACACCAGCUGCAACAUGUGGAAACCCAUGACGUUUUUAUAUCUCGUUUUCUUUUUUGUAAAUGCAAUACACUACAGUGGUGUCGAACUAGACCCCUGAAAUGAUGCAGGGCUCGGCAAACGCCAAAAUCAUCACGAGGGUUCUAGCUUUUUUAGGCCUUGCAGAAAAGCUGAGAUCCGCUUUUUUUUUUCUUUUCUUUCUAAGGUAACAAAAAAGGGCCGAAGGCCGUAAAGCACAGAGAGAGACAAACUAACCUAAUUUCCAGUCUCUUUAUAAUCACCAAUACAACAGAAAUCCUUCCAUUCCAUAGCCUCUCCUACAUAAAUUUUGGAGGCUCAGGAAAGAAACAUGUCUCCCUAACGUCUUUGCCAUCCACUUCAACCUUACUGUAUGCUACCACUAUAAGCAGCCAGUAGCGUCUACAAUUAAUGGAUCACGUAACAAGAGCUCUUACCUGCACAGCACAGUUGUGACUUGCGAAAGCCAUCGAACUGCCUUAUGUCCCCGUCAACCACUUCUGUUGGUCCCUCAGCUACGUUUUGAAAACGAUUUAAUUUGUCGUCGUUUGGGCUGUGAAAAGGAAUGGAAAUCGGUUGCUAGAGGACCUGGGCUGGGUAGUUCCAGCUAAGGGAAAACGAUUGACGCCAAUUUUACAGUAUAUUGGCUUAUGAAUUGAUUCAUGGAAAAAGAAACCCAAGAAAUUUAGAGGGGCCAAUCUAGCUUUGUUUCCAGUCGCCCUCAAUUUACAUAUUUAAAGAUUCCCCGCGACUGCUAAAGCGACCACAAAGUUAGGCAGCCAGCUUUCUCAUCUAAUUAUCAUAUACUUUGGAGAGGAUGCAUGUGGGAGUGAAAGGUCUGGAAACCAAGCCCCACAUCACAUAUACCGAAUAGAAAGCUCAAGGAACCACCAAACUAAGCACUUUCCUA
RNAcentral lists this long non-coding RNA (1130 nucleotides) under Populus trichocarpa (black cottonwood). Its description in RNAcentral is "long non-coding RNA (PTRI_LNC000688)". The record is from RNAcentral. Lineage: Eukaryota; Viridiplantae; Streptophyta; Magnoliopsida; Malpighiales; Salicaceae.